UGAAAAGAGGAUGCUCAUUGCUUCCAUGUAGUUUAGCUUUCUUAGUCUUUGGAGUAUGUCCAGCUUUGUUGUUAGUGAAUGGAUUUGUUCUGAAGACAUUGUGUGUCCAUCACAGAGCUGUGAGGAAGAGAAUCUACAAAAACAAGAAGUCUUCAAAAUAGGAAUGAAAGACUUUCACUGGACAUCAUUCCCAGCCUUUCAGAAAGAACAAAAUUUUAAACCAGAAGAUUUUGCUCCCCUCAGCUAAUAGGAACACAAAUGGAGCAUUUACAUGAAGAAUGGGACCAAGCAGAUGAACUGAAAAGUUUACCUUCUACAUCUGAGCAAACACGCAGUAAAACAGAUCCCAAAAACAUGGCUGGGGAAGACACAGGAGGUAUUUCCAAGGCAGAUGUAGAUCUCAAACCAUUUAAAGACACUCAGCAUAAAACUUCUACAUGCCACCUGGCAUUGUCACAAAGAACUGUAAAAGCUCUAAGUAUUCAACAGCAUUGCAGAGGGACUGUGCAGAACAGCAAGGAGAAGAAAAAACAAGAGAAAAGAGAGCUUCAAACACAAAUGCAUCAAAGCAGUAUUUCGUUUGGUGAGACCAGAAGCAUGCCUGCGGAAAGGAAACCUCCUCUGAUGAGCAUGGCUGGAAAUGAGAGCUGCAAGGAGAAUCCUGUACAGCAGAGUGAAGGGUCUUCAACUCUUGACAGCUGCCCAAUGUGUCUGAUUCGUUUCAGUGAAACGCUGUCACAAUUGGAUAUCGAUGGCCAUCUUGCUAGAUGCUUAUCUGAAAGCACAGAUGAUAUCACGUGGUAAAUCCAAAAUAACGGCGAGCAAAGGGACAAAGUUGAGUAUGAACCUUUCUCAAAGGAAAAGGAAAAAUGUGUCAGGGAAACAUGUCCUUGUCUCAAACUUCCUGAAAUGUCAUAGAUCGGGAACUGAAAGGGAAGGUCAAGUGCCACCUGCCUGUUGUUUGGGAUCAUUUUAAAUCCUCUCGUACGUAACCAAAAUAGCUGAGACAAGCACAUACAACUGCCUUCACAGAAUGUGAAAAAGAGCACAACAAAGCAGUAUCUGAAGUUCUCUGUCUCAGCAAACCCUUUUUCUGGACCUCAAGAGCCUGCAGGACAGAUGUGAGUCAAGUACAUGGAAUAAACAGACUACGGUAUUGAAAUACAGGCAUAAUUCUGUAGGUUUUUUAAUUUACAAUAAGGUCGCUUUAAAAAGUGCAAGUUGGACAUAGC
RNAcentral lists this long non-coding RNA (1232 nucleotides) under Gallus gallus (chicken). RNAcentral describes it as "long non-coding RNA NONGGAT004863". The record is from RNAcentral. Lineage: Eukaryota; Metazoa; Chordata; Aves; Galliformes; Phasianidae.